GGGGAUUAAACUCAGGGCCUUGCUCUUGCUAGACAACCAUUCUACCACUUUGGCCACACCCCCAGUUCUUUGGCUUUUGGUUUGUUUUCCAGAUAGGGCCUUGGGCUUUUGCCCAGGCUGGCUUGGGAUUGUGAUUCCCUGCCUCCGCCUUUAGCUGGGAUUACAGGCAUACUGUGCCCAGCCUCCUUAAAGUUUUGAUGUCUUAGUAUAUUCUCACUGAAUGAAAAAGGUACAGAUUGUUCCUGCCUCUUGGGUCACUGUGAGGAUUAAAUGAGGAAGUUAGUUCCUCAAGGAACAUGGUUUGGGUUGUGCUUUUCACCACCUUUUCUGCUUCUUUUUUUGCUGCAGGUACCCUGUGACUCUCAUUCUGAUUCAGUGUUCUGAUGAGUUCCCUCUCUUGCAUGGUAAAUGUAACUCUGCCAUCCUGCAGGGCUAAGAGCAGGCUGCGUACCCUCCAGUGAGAUUGUCCAUCCAAGUCCUCAUCAAGCCUAGCUUUGGGGACCUCUCCCAUGUUCUCCCAAAGGACGUGCUGCACACUCUCGUCUGGCAUUCGUCUGGGAACUGGAUUCCCUUACAAGGCACUUGGGCUCUGCCUUUCCCUAGAAAAAGGAGGAGAAAAUGACCAAACUCCAGGUGAGUUGAUUCUCAUUUCUGUCGUUAAUAUGUCACCUCAUUCAUCAGAGAAUGGAUACAUUUUUUCCCUUUUCUUGACCAAGUGUAAAGAAUGACAGCAGUCAUUUAAUACCACUUAUGUGUCUGGC
Molecule: long non-coding RNA, 761 nt
Filed under: Castor canadensis (American beaver)
Lineage: Eukaryota; Metazoa; Chordata; Mammalia; Rodentia; Castoridae
Description: lncRNA (ENSCCNG00000001311.1)
Source: RNAcentral